This 301-nucleotide ribosomal RNA is filed under the name uncultured bacterium. RNAcentral describes it as "partial 16S ribosomal RNA". It matches the Rfam family "Bacterial small subunit ribosomal RNA", at positions 509 to 807 of the family's 1533-position model. The record is from RNAcentral.
CAGUAGCCGCGGUAAUACGAAGGUCCCGAGCGUUGUUCGGAAUCACUGGGCGUAAAGGGAGCGUAGGCGGCGUGGUAAGUCAGAUGUGAAAUCCCGGGGCUCAACCCCGGAACUGCAUCCGAUACUGCCGUGCUAGAGGAUUGGAGAGGUAGCUGGAAUUCCUGGUGUAGCAGUGAAAUGCGUGGAGAUCAAGAGGAACACUCGUGGCGAAAGCGAGCUACUGGACAAUAUCUGACGCUGAGGCUCGAAGGCCAGGGUAGCGAAAGGGAUUAGAUACCCCUGUAGUCCCUGUCUCUUAUAC